Molecule: ribosomal RNA, 774 nt
Filed under: uncultured bacterium
Lineage: Bacteria
Description: bacterial SSU rRNA
Rfam family: Bacterial small subunit ribosomal RNA
Source: RNAcentral
AGAGUUUGAUCAUGGCUCAGGAUGAACGCUGGCGGCGUGCUUAACACAUGCAAGUCGAACGGAAAGGCCCAAGCUUGCUUGGGUACUCGAGUGGCGAACGGGUGAGUAACACGUGGGUGAUCUGCCCUGCACUUCGGGAUAAGCCUGGGAAACUGGGUCUAAUACCGGAUAGGACGAUGGUUUGGAUGCCAUUGUGGAAAGUUUUUUCGGUGUGGGAUGAGCUCGCGGCCUAUCAGCUUGUUGGUGGGGUAAUGGCCUACCAAGGCGUCGACGGGUAGCCGGCCUGAGAGGGUGUACGGCCACAUUGGGACUGAGAUACGGCCCAGACUCCUACGGGAGGCAGCAGUGGGGAAUAUUGCACAAUGGGCGCAAGCCUGAUGCAGCGACGCCGCGUGGGGGAUGACGGCCUUCGGGUUGUAAACUCCUUUCGCUAGGGACGAAGCGUUUUUGUGACGGUACCUGGAGAAGAAGCACCGGCUAACUACGUGCCAGCAGCCGCGGUAAUACGUAGGGUGCGAGCGUUGUCCGGAAUUACUGGGCGUAAAGAGCUCGUAGGUGGUUUGUCGCGUCGUUUGUGUAAGCCCGCAGCUUAACUGCGGGACUGCAGGCGAUACGGGCAUAACUUGAGUGCUGUAGGGGAGACUGGAAUUCCUGGUGUAGCGGUGGAAUGCGCAGAUAUCAGGAGGAACACCGAUGGCGAAGGCAGGUCUCUGGGCAGUAACUGACGCUGAGGAGCGAAAGCAUGGGUAGCGAACAGGAUUAGAUACCCCGGUA